AACCCGCCUGCAUGAAGUUGGAAUCGCUAGUAAUCGCGGAUCAGCAUGCCGCGGUGAAUACGUUCCCGGGCCUUGUACACACCGCCCGUCACACCAUGAGAGUCGGGAACACCCGAAGUCCGUAGCCUGACCGGAAAGGGGGGCGCGGCCGAAGGUGGGUUCGAUAAUUGGGGUGAAGUCGUAACAAGGUAUC
RNAcentral lists this ribosomal RNA (193 nucleotides) under uncultured bacterium. Its description in RNAcentral is "partial 16S ribosomal RNA". It matches the Rfam family "Bacterial small subunit ribosomal RNA", at positions 1309 to 1500 of the family's 1533-position model. The record is from RNAcentral.